UGGGGUCCCAUUCAAAAAGUUCCACACACCGUCCUCGCACAAAACCCAUCAUAAAAACCGAACCGGAGCGGACCGGUAUUUCCCCUAUAAAUAUGCCUGUUGUGCAGCAUGCAUUGUUUCAAAAACUCAAAGCUAUUAAAACCUCACAGUACAAUUUUUGUACCCAAACUAUUUUUUUGAUCACCUAUUUGUACUGAAACUCUACUCGAAUCGCACGGUAAUGGCGUUGAGAAAGAAGAUCUCAUCAACUUCACCCAUGAAGAGUCUCUGUAUUGUGUUUGCGGUCCUGUUACUGAUGAUGGGAACCCAAUUCCGUGGCGUCCAUUGCCGCGCUCUACGAGAACGAAAAAGCGUGACAAGUCCUGCAGAACAAGUCAAGGCGGAGGAGUCGAUGGCUGCGGCUAAGUUCGACGUCCCCUCCCGAAACUCGAGCAUUGGUUCUUCUUCAUCGGUCCGGGGCUUCAGUUUCAAGUUGGCAUCUGGGCCUAGCAAAAAAGGUCCUGGGAAUUGACAGACAACUCAACUCCAUACAACUAUAUAUACUAGCUACUAGCUAGUCACUCUGUUCGUUCUUUCAUUUUUUUCCCCUCAUACUUAUAAAUUUGUAGUUCUAAUAUUUGUAUUUAUGUUACCUCUGAGGUUCCAUAGAAUUAAUAUUUGUAGUUAUUUCUUCUUUCGUUAGUAUUUGUAUAUGAGGAGCCAUAGAAUUUGAGGUUCCAUAGAAUUAAAUUUGUAGUUCUAAUAUUUGUAUUUAUGUCACCCCUGUUUCUUUUUA
This is a long non-coding RNA of Rhododendron vialii, 775 nucleotides long. RefSeq lists it as uncharacterized. Lineage: Eukaryota; Viridiplantae; Streptophyta; Magnoliopsida; Ericales; Ericaceae. The record is from RefSeq and is a predicted model, not a curated record. The transcript is spliced from 2 exons.